UUCUUUAAUUGGGGGCUGGAAUGAAGGGUAGAAAUUUAAGGGGAAUGUUUUUAUUUUUAUUUUGAAUUUAAGUUAAAAGUAAAAAUGCUUUUAUAAAUUUUUGGGACGAGAAGACCCUAGAAGUUUGAAAGGUUAUGUUUUUGAUUGGGGCAAUUGUUGAGGAUAAAAGAUUUUUGAUUAGAGUUUUGAGGAUUAGAAAAUUACUCUAGGGAUAACAGCAUAAUUUAAUUGGCGAGUUCUUAUUAAUAAUUAAGUUUGUGACCUCGAUGUUGAAUUAAAUUGAAUUUUAAAUGAAGAAGUUUAAAUAUUUAGUCUGUUCGACUAUUAAUGGUUUACGUGAUCUGAGU
RNAcentral lists this ribosomal RNA (347 nucleotides) under Iguarassua sp. MZSP 73071. RNAcentral's name for it is "partial large subunit ribosomal RNA". The stretch from base 104 to 347 matches the Rfam family "Bacterial large subunit ribosomal RNA", at positions 2078 to 2610 of the family's 2925-position model. The record is from RNAcentral. Lineage: Eukaryota; Metazoa; Arthropoda; Arachnida; Opiliones; Stygnidae.